UAUGAGAAGAAUUGUCGGUUAUAACGCAUUUUUUCCGCCCAACCGACGAAUUCUUUGGAAACACGAGGGACGAAGGACCCUUCAGUUGGACAUGAACCAAAAGUUAACUAUCUAUGCAGAAAGCUGAACACCGAGGCGGCCAUGACGGACAACCACACCAGCACUGACCACAAGCCGUCUUUUUCACGAAUGUGGGCAGAACCUGGAAGAGAAGAACAAGAAAAGGUUGGUUUUUAUUCAUUCAGUUCAUGACCUCUUAAACCCAGCACCCACUCAGCUUAUCAUGUGUGCGUUUGAUGUGUGCCCUGUGACGUGGUGAAAUUCUAGUUGUUUUUCCAUUUUCAUGUGUCUUUCUUUUUUCC
Long non-coding RNA from Synchiropus splendidus (mandarinfish), 362 nucleotides. RefSeq lists it as uncharacterized. NCBI's taxonomy places the organism in Eukaryota, Metazoa, Chordata, Actinopteri, Syngnathiformes, Callionymidae. The record is from RefSeq and is a predicted model, not a curated record. The transcript has 3 exons.